This 261-nucleotide ribosomal RNA is filed under the name uncultured archaeon. Its description in RNAcentral is "partial 16S ribosomal RNA". It matches the Rfam family "Archaeal small subunit ribosomal RNA", at positions 748 to 1009 of the family's 1478-position model. The record is from RNAcentral.
AGGGUGUAAACGCUGCAGACUUGGUGUUGGAGGCCCUUUGGGGGCAUUCAGUGCCGGAGAGAAGUUGUUAAGUCUGCUACUUGGGGAGUACGUCCGCAAGGAUGAAACUUAAAGGAAUUGGCGGGGGAGCACAACAACGGGUGGAGCCUGCGGUUUAAUUGGAUUCAACGCCGGAAAUCUUACCGGACCGACAGCAAUAUGAAGGCCAGGCUGAAGAACCUUGCCUGAAUCGCUAAGAGGAGGUGCAUGGCGUAGACGUCU